Molecule: transfer RNA, 57 nt
Filed under: Diptera sp. 53 LC-2017
Lineage: Eukaryota; Metazoa; Arthropoda; Insecta; Diptera
Description: tRNA-Met
Source: RNAcentral
UAAAUUAUAAGCUAAAAUUAAGCUAAUGAGUUCAUACCUCAUUUAUAUUUCAUUUUA